RNAcentral lists this ribosomal RNA (500 nucleotides) under uncultured bacterium. RNAcentral's name for it is "bacterial SSU rRNA". It matches the Rfam family "Bacterial small subunit ribosomal RNA", at positions 29 to 526 of the family's 1533-position model. The record is from RNAcentral.
AAUGAACGCUGGCGGCGUGCUUAACACAUGCAAGUCGAGCGAGAAAGCUUCUUCGGAAGUGAGUAAAGCGGCGGACGGGUGAGUAAUACGUAAGAAUUUACCUUUUAGUGAAGAAUACCUUCAAGAAAUUGAGGUUAAUACUGCAUACGUCCCUCCGGGGAGAAAGGUGGCUUUUAUGCUGCCGCUAAAAGAUGAGCUUGCGGGCUAUUAGCUAGUUGGUACGGUAAAGGCGUACCAAGGCAAUGAUGGCUAGCCGGCCUGAGAGGGUGUUCGGCCACAUUGGAACUGAGACACGGUCCAGACUCCUACGGGAGGCAGCAGUGGGGAAUAUUGCGCAAUGGGCGAAAGCCUGACGCAGCGACGCCGCGUGGAGGAUGAAGGCUUUUGGGUCGUAAAUUCCUGUUAGAUGGGAAGAAAAGCCUAUUUUUAAUAAAAAUGGGCACUGACGGUACCAUCAAAGAAAGCACCGGCUAACUUCGUGCCAGCCGCCGCCGUAACAC